AUGCGAUCGGAUGUUUUCUUAGGUCUCGUUCUCAGCUGUGUCAACAGCUAUAUGCAGCAGUGCUUCUUUACAGGGGGUAAGGACUUGUGCCGAUUCAAAGGCAGGCAGAGGCUUCCAGCCACAGGAUUCUCGGGCAUCCGUCUCUGCGGUUCUUGGAAAAUAGUUGUUCCGUUAGCAUCUUUUUCCUCCAGGGUCAUCCGAGCCCGGCAGGCUCGCCUGGGGUCCCUCCUCGGUCAUCUCGUUCAGCAUUCUCUCGGUCCUCGUGAGGACUUUCUUGUCUCAGAGAGUUUUCUCUCCCUGUCACGUCCCCUUGUCUCACGGGUGUCUGGGGGUAUUUGGUCCGGAGCUGCUCUGCCCUGGCGCCCAGCCUGGUUAUGCAGACAGAUUGACCUCAUGGCAGAGCGCUGUCCCAGAUGAGGGGGUCCCCCUGAGAAGGUCGGUCACGGUUUUACUUUGCAGCGGGGCUGGAACCGGUCACUGUGUUACAGCUCUUCUCUUUGUAUUUAUUUCUAGGAAGUAAAGCUGGAAAGCAGCGGGGAAGGCGAAGCAGGUGGGAGGUGAGCCUCGGUUGGUGGAGAGAAGCAGUUGUUCUUGCUGGGGUCGCAGUUUCUGGUGCAACUCCAAUCCCUUGGUUUUUUUUAUUUUAGGUGGUCUACUUGCAAGAUAUCCCCGCCCAGGAUGCUGGAGGACAGGUGGGUGCAAGCUCUGUGUGUGUUUUGGUGUUUAAGUCCCUGGUUUGCUGCUAGUCUUUAGUUCUUGAAGAUAGAAUGAAAGAACCACAUCACAAAUCCCACCUUGUGGAUCCUGACACACAUUGGUGUCACGGACAGGAUUCUGAGAGACAGAAGGGGUUGCAGGUUUAUCGUGCAGUCAUUAUCAGGGGAAAGAUGUUUCGCCUCAGCCGCCCCUAGCCUGCCACGCUGGUGAGCAGUGUCUAGAAAGCAAGGGAGGUGACUCGAAUUUCUUAAAAACAGCACAUGCCUCAGGGCAAAGCACCCCACACUCAUUUGAGGGCUCUGUCUUCAGAACUUUACAGGGGAUCUUUGAGUAUGAGAAGUGGGACUGAGAGGUUUUUCUGUUUGAAGUCCCUGGUUUGCUGCUAAUCUUUAGUUCUCUAAGAUAGAAGGAAAGAACCACAUCACAAAUCCCACCUUGUGGAUCCUGACACGAAUCGGUGUCACGGACAGGAUUCUGAGAGACAGAAGGGGUUGCAGGUUUAUUGUGCAGUCAUUAUCAGGGGAAAGACGUUUCGCCUCAGCCGCCCCUAGCCUGCCACGCCGGUGAGCAGUGUCUAGAAAGCAAGGGAGGUGACACGAAUUUUUUAAAAACAGCACAUGCCUCAGGGCAAAGCACCCCACACUCGUUUGAGGGCUCUGUCUUCAGAACUUUACAGGGGAUCUUUGAGUAUGAGAGGUGGGGCUGAGUGGUUUUUCUUCUGUUUCAGUCCCUGGUUGGCUGACAAGCUUUUGUAGUCCAAGAUGGAAUAAAGGAACCACAUUGGGAAUUCCA
Molecule: long non-coding RNA, 1509 nt
Filed under: Cyanistes caeruleus (blue tit)
Lineage: Eukaryota; Metazoa; Chordata; Aves; Passeriformes; Paridae
Description: lncRNA (ENSCCEG00000008156.1)
Source: RNAcentral